RNAcentral lists this ribosomal RNA (433 nucleotides) under uncultured bacterium. RNAcentral describes it as "partial 16S ribosomal RNA". It matches the Rfam family "Bacterial small subunit ribosomal RNA", at positions 29 to 507 of the family's 1533-position model. The record is from RNAcentral.
AACGAACGCUGGCGGCAUGCCUAACACAUGCAAGUCGAACGAGACCUUCGGGUCUAGUGGCGCACGGGUGCGUAACGCGUGGGAACCUGCCCUUAGGUUCGGAAUAACUCCCCGAAAGGGGUGCUAAUACCGGAUAAUGUCUUCGGACCAAAGAUUUAUCGCCUUUGGAUGGGCCCGCGUUGGAUUAGCUAGUUGGUAGGGUAAAAGCCCACCAAGGCGACGAUCCAUAGCUGGUCUGAGAGGAUGAUCAGCCACACUGGGACUGAGACACGGUCCAGACUCCUACGGGAGGCAGCAGUGGGGAAUAUUGGACAAUGGGCGAAAGCCUGAUCCAGCAAUGCCGCGUGAGUGAUGAAGGCCUUAGGGUUGUAAAGCUCUUUUACCCGGGAUGAUAAUGACAGUACCGGGAGAAUAAGCUCCGGCUAACUCCGUG